RNAcentral lists this ribosomal RNA (472 nucleotides) under uncultured bacterium. Its description in RNAcentral is "bacterial SSU rRNA". It matches the Rfam family "Bacterial small subunit ribosomal RNA", at positions 30 to 507 of the family's 1533-position model. The record is from RNAcentral.
AUUGAACGCUGGCGGAAUGCUUUACACAUGCAAGUCGAACGGCAGCACGGGGCAACCUGGUGGCGAGUGGCGAACGGGUGAGUAAUACAUCGGAACGUGCCCAAUCGUGGGGGAUAACGUAGCGAAAGUUACGCUAAUACCGCAUACGAUCUACGGAUGAAAGCGGGGGAUCGCAAGACCUCGCGCGAAUGGAGCGGCCGAUGUCAGAUUAGGUAGUUGGUGGGGUAAAGGCUCACCAAGCCAACGAUCUGUAGCUGGUCUGAGAGGACGACCAGCCACACUGGAACUGAGACACGGUCCAGACUCCUACGGGAGGCAGCAGUGGGGAAUUUUGGACAAUGGGCGCAAGUCUGAUCCAGCCAUUCCGCGUGCAGGAUGAAGGCCUUCGGUUGUAAACUGCUUUGUACGAAAAACCCCCGACCGUAGUCGGGGCGUGAUGGUACCGUAAGAAUAAGGAUCGGCUAACUCCGUG